Molecule: long non-coding RNA, 306 nt
Filed under: Sorghum bicolor (sorghum)
Lineage: Eukaryota; Viridiplantae; Streptophyta; Magnoliopsida; Poales; Poaceae
Description: long non-coding RNA (SBIC_LNC000378)
Source: RNAcentral
CGGAAUAGCUAUAGGUAAGGCUUACCAGCGCAUGUGGGCUGUACUCAAAGGUCUCAAUCACAACAGGCCAAUCAACGGUACGGUCCUUAAUCGACUCAGUUGGAGACACUACUUAAAGACUCCAUUCUUAAAGCAAGUCCUCCGACCGGUCUCAAGUUUAAACAUUAUUAACCAUAAAAGUAUUCCACAACAACCCUUCAAACUCUUUCAUUUGAAAACUUAUCUAAUAAGCAGGGCUAAGCAUAUUAAGCAUUUUCAUAAAGCAGGUAUCAAGGUUAAUAUGGAAAUCAUCAAGGUAGAUAAUGC